This 498-nucleotide ribosomal RNA is filed under the name uncultured bacterium. Its description in RNAcentral is "partial 16S ribosomal RNA". It matches the Rfam family "Bacterial small subunit ribosomal RNA", at positions 30 to 523 of the family's 1533-position model. The record is from RNAcentral.
AUUGAACGCUGGCGGCAUGCCUUACACAUGCAAGUCGAACGGUAACAGGUCUUCGGAUGCUGACGAGUGGCGAACGGGUGAGUAAUACAUCGGAACGUGCCCAGUAGUGGGGGAUAGCCCGGCGAAAGCCUGAUCAAUACCGCAUACGACCUACGGGGGCAAGGGGGGGAUGGCAAGAGCUCUCGCUAUUUGAGCGGCCGAUGUCAGAGUAGGUAGUUGGUGGGGUCAAGGCCUACCAAGCCGACGAUCUGUAGCUGGUCUGAGAGGACGACCAGCCACACUGGGACUGAGACACGGCCCAGACUCCUACGGGAGGCAGCAGUGGGGAAUUUUGGACAAUGGGCGCAAGCCUGAUCCAGCCAUGCCGCGUGCGGGAAGAAGGCCUUCGGGUUGUAAACCGCUUUUGUCAGGGAAGAAAUCUUCUGAGUUAAUACCUCGGGAGGAUGACGGUACCUGAAGAAUAAGCACCGGCUAACUACGUGCCAGCCGCCGCGGUAA